Molecule: ribosomal RNA, 253 nt
Filed under: uncultured bacterium
Lineage: Bacteria
Description: partial 16S ribosomal RNA
Rfam family: Bacterial small subunit ribosomal RNA
Source: RNAcentral
UACGUAGGGUGCAAGCGUUGUCCGGAAUUAUUGGGCGUAAAGAGCUCGUAGGCGGUCUGUCGCGUCUGCUGUGAAAAUCCAGGGCUCAACCCUGGACCUGCAGUGGGUACGGGCAGACUAGAGUGCGGUAGGGGAGAUCGGAAUUCCUGGUGUAGCGGUGAAAUGCGCAGAUAUCAGGAGGAACACCGGUGGCGAAGGCGGCCCUCUGGACGGUGACUGACGCUGAGACGCGAAAGCGUGGGGAGCAAACAGG